GUUUGACAUGCUUACAGGCUCGUACUGAUUUUAUUUUCUUUUUUUAUUUACCUACUUUGCUCAAUUUGUGAUUUGAUGACAUUUAAAUUUAUGACGUUUAUUUGACUAUUGUUACAACUUGGGGAGCUGAAUACUAAUUGAAUUGGUGAAUUUGCAAACUCAGGAUUUGUCUUUUAAACAUCUACCGGUGAAGACCUUCUUCAGCCUGUCAGAUCCCUAUGCGGCUGCCUGAUGAUGCAGACCAAAAAACAGUCAUGCAAAUUGCACCUGAUGUGACUGUACACAAGAAUUGGAAGGUUAUGGAGCUUUCUGAACUUCUCAUGAACAAAAUUAUUCAACAAAACGGGUCACGGGGAGUCUGUGCCUAUCUCAGGCGUCAUUCGGACAUCAAGGCA
This is a long non-coding RNA of Tachysurus fulvidraco (yellow catfish), 395 nucleotides long. RefSeq lists it as uncharacterized. NCBI's taxonomy places the organism in Eukaryota, Metazoa, Chordata, Actinopteri, Siluriformes, Bagridae. The record is from RefSeq and is a predicted model, not a curated record. The transcript is spliced from 4 exons.